GUGCUGCUGCAGGAGGAGCCCACCAAGUGUCUGGAUGUGGAGCUGCGGCAGCAGGCCAUGAGCACCAUCGCCACCAUGAGUUACCACCCCAGCCCAGCUUUGGCCGACAUGGUAACACUGGUCCCAGCUGGGGGCCCUGAGCAGAGCAUCACACCUCUGCCCUCUCUCCCCUUGCAGCAGAGCACAGCUGCUUCCCAAGAAGGAGAAGAACGGUCUCCUGCACACCUCCAUCAGCACUGUCCUCCAUCUCCCUCACCACAAGGAUGACACAGACUGGGAUGCUGCAUCCUGCAUGGAGGUGAGCACGGGCUGAGCCCUGGGAACACUUCCUGGGCACCACCACCUGGGAUGCCCCUCUGCUGCCAGCAGGACGCAGCAGGGAUGGCCGCCCUGACCCCUGUCCUUCUUGCAGACCAUGGAAGCCCUGCACCGCCUGCUGCAAGGGGCUGGUGGGCAGCACCAGCACCACUGUCCACAUGGAGCUGAAGAAUAUCUUGGAGCUCCUGCUGCCCUUCACCAUGUGCCAGCUGGUGGCCGUGGAGGAGAGGGCCACGGCGUGCAUUGGCAGGCUGCUCGCCUUCACCAACACCUGCUCAUUGCCAGAGGUAGGGCGCUCUGGUGCGCACAGCUCUGGGGACCAUGUCCUGGCUCCCCAGCUGGAGCCCACCUGUCUCCAGGCUUGCACAGAGCCUGGGCUGGGCCCUGCAGCCCCGCUCAGCAGUGUGCUUCUGCUGCCUCUCUCCCCGGCUGUGCUCCUGCUUCAUGGGAACCGCCGUCUUCCAGCACAAGUGCCAGGAGAACCAACACUUCCCUGUACGGGAGAAGCUGGCCAGACACCUCAUCCUGUGCUGCACCUCCAUGGAUGAGAGCACCAGAGUUGAGGCGAUGAAGGCUGUCUGUCAGCUUUUCACCUUCAUCACCACCCCAAGAUUGUCACUGAAGCAGAAGGAGCCCAAGGUGCCACAGCUCUGGGAGAGCCAGCUAGCUUUGCUCCACCAGGAGGCUUCCCCUGAGAACAGACCCACUGAUAUCUUCCAGGUCCUUCUGAAAUACCUCCUGUACCCCGAAACGGUGAAUGUCUUACUCACAACCACUGAGAGUACGACAGCGCUGAGCCUCCACAGCACCGAUCUGGCUGCCCACAUGAUAGAUGUGCUCGCAGCGGAGGCUUGCUUCCCUCCACAGCAGGUGUGAAAGAUCAUGAAGACCAUCUACAACAGCCUGCCUUCCACCAAAGACAAGGCAGCUCUCAAAAGCCUGGGCAGGGCCCUGCUCGUGCUGACCAGCAAAUUCCCGAAGGAGAUGGUUAGCAGUCUGCUGGUCUGCUCCCCCACCUGCACCAGGUACGGGGCCCACAGCCCUCAGGGCUCCUCUCCCUUCCCUUCUCUACCCCAUGGCCAUCAGCCAAGCGAGGGCAGCCAUGCUGACAGCUCUGGGGACCUGCAGGGUCACUGUCACCAUGUGGAAAGAAAUGCUCUCAGAACCCCCAGCCAUGGAGAAGGCGCUGCAGAAGCUGCUCCGAGUGCUGAUAAACCAUUCUCAGCAGCACUCGUCACCAUUCAUCAAGGACUGGCCACGUGUCCUUGCCCUAGCUGAGUUCUUCACUCACCCAGCUGAGCCUGAGUCCCCGCUCCCCUCCCCUGUCCACCCCCAAGCCUUCUCCCUGCUCUGACAUCCAUCCAUAGGCCUGCCUGGAGCUCUCGGGGUCUCCCUCCCCCUCCUUUCUUCCAUCCCUACAGUUGUAGAGAUGGGAUAGAAACCUGGGGGGUGGGGCAAGAAUCGUAUCCGGUGCUUUCUGCAGGUAGCAAGGACCCUACCUGAGAUACUCCAUUGCCUCUGGUCCUGAAAGAGGUCCAGGCCAUGCUCCCAAAGCUCUUCCUGGCCCUCCUCCUGCAAGCGUCCUUCACCACAAGCUGACGCAGCAGGAGGUGGAGAUUUUCUGGGAGGAGCACCAGCAGCACCAGCUCACUCCCAUCAGGUGCCACAUCCCCAUCCCCCCGCUGCACCCAGGGACCCCGUGCUGGGGCUCCCAAUGUGAUUUGCACCCUUCUCCACCUGCAGGUCCGCGUGCAGGCCUUGAAGGUGCUGCUCUGCAGCGUGGGCCUCCAGAGGCAGGUGGAGGUGUCUCGCUCCGAUUUAUAGGAGGGAGAGGAGGUUCUUUUAAUAUCUAUAUCCCUGGCGUGAGAUUAAGAAA
Phasianus colchicus (ring-necked pheasant) is the source of this 2194-nucleotide long non-coding RNA. Lineage: Eukaryota; Metazoa; Chordata; Aves; Galliformes; Phasianidae. The record is from Ensembl.